This is a regulatory RNA element of 82 nucleotides. It matches the Rfam family "pemK RNA". The record is from Rfam.
AUAAUGAUACUCCCGCCUUGAACGCUUUACAGCAUUGGGCGGCUGCAUGAGAACCAUGCAGGGGGGCGACAUAACCCCGUGG